This 477-nucleotide ribosomal RNA is filed under the name uncultured bacterium. RNAcentral describes it as "partial 16S ribosomal RNA". It matches the Rfam family "Bacterial small subunit ribosomal RNA", at positions 28 to 507 of the family's 1533-position model. The record is from RNAcentral.
GAUGAACGCUGGCGGCGUGCCUAAUACAUGCAAGUCGAACGAACAGACCAUGCUCUUGUUCCUUGCUCGUUUGCCGCACGCGUGUGAAUCACGCGUGUAUCCCCUCCUUGUCUUAGUGAGAUCACUACGAAACUCCGGCUAUUAUCCCAUAUAAUAUUUUGCACCACAUUGUUCGAUGGUGAAAUAUGGCUUUUUUGGCGCUUGUCGAUGGACCUGCGGCUUAUCAGCUAGUUGGUGAGGUAGUGGCUUACCAAGGCAACGACGGGUAGCCGGCCUGAGAGGGUGACCGGCCACAUUGGGACUGAGAUACGGCCCAGACUCCUACGGGAGGCAGCAGUGGGGAAUAUUGCACAAUGGGCGGAAGCCUGAUGCAGCAGCGCCGCGUGCGGGAUGACGGCCUUCGGGUUGUAAACCGCUGUCGCCUGUGACGAAGCGUGAGUGACGGUAAUGGGUAAAGAAGCACCGGCUAACUACGUG